AUUGAACGCUGGCGGCAGGCCUAACACAUGCAAGUCGAGCGGAUGAAGGGAGCUUGCUCCUGGAUUCAGCGGCGGACGGGUGAGUAAUGCCUAGGAAUCUGCCUGGUAGUGGGGGAUAACGUCCGGAAACGGGCGCUAAUACCGCAUACGUCCUGAGGGAGAAAGUGGGGGAUCUUCGGACCUCACGCUAUCAGAUGAGCCUAGGUCGGAUUAGCUAGUUGGUGGGGUAAAGGCCUACCAAGGCGACGAUCCGUAACUGGUCUGAGAGGAUGAUCAGUCACACUGGAUCUGAGACACGGUCCAGACUCCUACGGGAGGCAGCAGUGGGGAAUAUUGGACAAUGGGCGAAAGCCUGAUCCAGCCAUGCCGCGUGUGUGAAGAAGGUCUUCGGAUUGUAAAGCACUUUAAGUUGGGAGGAAGGGCAGUAAGUUAAUACCUUGCUGUUUUGACGUGACCAACAGAAUAAGCACCGGCUAACUUCGU
This 483-nucleotide ribosomal RNA is filed under the name uncultured bacterium. RNAcentral's name for it is "partial 16S ribosomal RNA". It matches the Rfam family "Bacterial small subunit ribosomal RNA", at positions 30 to 506 of the family's 1533-position model. The record is from RNAcentral.